UAACACAUGCAAGUCGAACGGUGAAGAGAAGCUUGCUUCUCGGAUCAGUGGCGGACGGGUGAGUAACAUGUGAGGAACCUGCCUUUCAGAGGGGGAUAACGUUUGGAAACGAACGCUAAUACCGCAUAACAUAUUCGGACGGCAUCGUCUGAAUAUCAAAGGAGCAAUCCGCUGAAAGAUGGCCUCGCGUCUGAUUAGCUAGUUGGUGAGGUAACGGCCCACCAAGGCGACGAUCAGUAGCCGGUCUGAGAGGAUGAACGGCCACAUUGGGACUGAGAUACGGCCCAGACUCCUACGGGAGGCAGCAGUGGGGAAUAUUGGGCAAUGGGCGAAAGCCUGACCCAGCAACGCCGCGUGAAGGAAGAAGGCCUUCGGGUUGUAAACUUCUUUUACCAGGGACGAAGAACGUGACGGUACCUGGAGAAAAAGCAACGGCUAACUACGUG
Molecule: ribosomal RNA, 446 nt
Filed under: uncultured bacterium
Lineage: Bacteria
Description: bacterial SSU rRNA
Rfam family: Bacterial small subunit ribosomal RNA
Source: RNAcentral